GUACCUUUCUCGGCCUUUUGGCUAACAUCUGUUCUUAUUAGUUUAAUAUCUGAUACGUGAGUUCUUAUCCUCGCAAUGAUAUUAAAUUUUAUAUGUUUUGGGGGAGAGCCCGUUAUUGUAGCUUGCUACCUGGGCCACUGAGUGUCGCCCUAGCGUAGCACUAUUGAUUGGGCCCACACCCCAACC
RNAcentral lists this small nuclear RNA (186 nucleotides) under Dichanthelium oligosanthes. RNAcentral describes it as "U2 spliceosomal RNA". It matches the Rfam family "U2 spliceosomal RNA". Rfam says of the family: U2 is a small nuclear RNA (snRNA) component of the spliceosome (involved in pre-mRNA splicing). Complementary binding between U2 snRNA (in an area lying towards the 5' end but 3' to hairpin I) and the branchpoint sequence (BPS) of the intron results the bulging out of an unpaired adenosine, on the BPS, which initiates a nucleophilic attack at the intronic 5' splice site, thus starting the first of two transesterification reactions that mediate splicing. The record is from Rfam by way of RNAcentral. Lineage: Eukaryota; Viridiplantae; Streptophyta; Magnoliopsida; Poales; Poaceae.